AUUGAACGCUGGCGGCAGGCUUAACACAUGCAAGUCGAGCGGGGAAAAGUAGCUUGCUACUUGACCUAGCGGCGGACGGGUGAGUAAUGCUUAGGAAUCUGCCUAUUAGUGGGGGACAACAUCUCGAAAGGGAUGCUAAUACCGCAUACGUCCUACGGGAGAAAGCAGGGGACCUUCGGGCCUUGCGCUAAUAGAUGAGCCUAAGUCGGAUUAGCUAGUUGGUGGGGUAAAGGCCUACCAGGCGACGAUCUGUAGCGGGUCUGAGAGGAUGAUCCGCCACACUGGGACUGAGACACGGCCCAGACUCCUACGGGAGGCAGCAGUGGGGAAUAUUGGACAAUGGGGGGAACCCUGAUCCAGCCAUGCCGCGUGUGUGAAGAAGGCCUUUUGGUUGUAAAGCACUUUAAGCGAGGAGGAGGCUACCGAGAUUAAUACUCUUGGAUAGUGGACGUUACUCGCAGAAUAAGCACCGGCUAACUCUGUGCCAGCAGCCGCGGUAAUACAGAGGGUGCAAGCGUUAAUCGGAUUUACUGGGCGUAAAGCGCGCGUAGGUGGCCAAUUAAGUCAAAUGUGAAAUCCCCGAGCUUAACUUGGGAAUUGCAUUCGAUACUGGUUGGCUAGAGUAUGGGAGAGGAUGGUAGAAUUCCAGGUGUAGCGGUGAAAUGCGUAGAGAUCUGGAGGAAUACCGAUGGCGAAGGCAGCCAUCUGGCCUAAUACUGACACUGAGGUGCGAAAGCAUGGGGAGCAAACAGGAUUAGAUACCCUGGUAGUCCAUGCCGUAAACGAUGUCUACUAGCCGUUGGGGCCUUUGAGGCUUUAGUGGCGCAGCUAACGCGAUAAGUAGACCGCCUGGGGAGUACGGUCGCAAGACUAA
RNAcentral lists this ribosomal RNA (874 nucleotides) under uncultured bacterium. RNAcentral describes it as "bacterial SSU rRNA". It matches the Rfam family "Bacterial small subunit ribosomal RNA", at positions 28 to 897 of the family's 1533-position model. The record is from RNAcentral.